RNAcentral lists this ribosomal RNA (496 nucleotides) under uncultured bacterium. RNAcentral describes it as "partial 16S ribosomal RNA". It matches the Rfam family "Bacterial small subunit ribosomal RNA", at positions 29 to 507 of the family's 1533-position model. The record is from RNAcentral.
AUGAACGCUGGCGGCGUGCCUAAUCCAUGCAAGUCGAGCGAACGGACGAGAAGCUUGCUUCUCUGAUGUUAGCGGCGGACGGGUGAGUAACACGUGGAUAACCUACCUAUAAGACUGGGAUAACUUCGGGAAACCGGAGCUAAUACCGGAUAAUAUUUUGAACCGCAUGGUUCAAAAGUGAAAGACGGUCUUGCUGUCACUUAUAGAUGGAUCCGCGCUGCAUUAGCUAGUUGGUAAGGUAACGGCUUACCAAGGCAACGAUGCAUAGCCGACCUGAGAGGGUGAUCUGCCACACUGGAACUGAGACACGGUCCAGACUCCUACGGGAGGCAGCAGUAGGGAAUCUUCCGCAAUGGGCGAAAGCCUGACGGAGCAACGCCGCGUGAGUGAUGAAGGUCUUCGGAUCGUAAAACUCUGUUAUUAGGGAAGAACAUAUGUGUAAGUAACUGUGCACAUCUUGACGGUACCUAAUCAGAAAGCCACGGCUAACUACGUG